GUGCUCCCUUUAGCAGCACAUAUACUAAAACUGGAGUAAUUUAGAGAAGAUUGGCAUGGCCCCCGCACAAGGAUGAUACACAGAUUCAUCAAGCGUUCCAAAGUUUU
Molecule: small nuclear RNA, 107 nt
Organism: Loxodonta africana (African savanna elephant)
Lineage: Eukaryota; Metazoa; Chordata; Mammalia; Proboscidea; Elephantidae
Source: Ensembl